This 279-nucleotide ribosomal RNA is filed under the name uncultured bacterium. RNAcentral's name for it is "partial 16S ribosomal RNA". It matches the Rfam family "Archaeal small subunit ribosomal RNA", at positions 456 to 735 of the family's 1478-position model. The record is from RNAcentral.
UGCCAGCAGCCGCGGUAAUACUCGCGGUCCAAGUCGCAGCCAUUUUUAUUGGGCCUAAAGCAUCCGUAGCCGGCUCUGUAAGUUUUCGGUUAAAUCUGUACGCUCAACGUACAGGCUGCCGGGAAUACUGCAGAGCUAGGGAGUGGGAGAGGUAGACGGUACUCGGUAGGAAGGGGUAAAAUCCUUUGAUCUAUUGAUGACCACCUGUGGCGAAGGCGGUCUACCAGAACACGUCCGACGGUGAGGGAUGAAAGCUGGGGGAGCAAACCGGAUUAGAUA